Equus quagga is the source of this 330-nucleotide long non-coding RNA. RefSeq lists it as uncharacterized. The transcript is spliced from 3 exons. The record is from RefSeq and is a predicted model, not a curated record. Lineage: Eukaryota; Metazoa; Chordata; Mammalia; Perissodactyla; Equidae.
CAAUAAUGGAGGAUUUAACUGGUUGGCAGAGUCCGGGAUAAGGAGCUGAGAGCAGAGCACAGGAAUCUAAGUCUCUCUUUGGCUCAGUGGACCCAGACUCAACAUGCAGCUCUUCCCUCUUGUCACCUCAUCAGGAUUCUACUAUGGAAAACAGGUGGCAUUUGCCCUCUGCUCUCAGAGCAAAGGCUGUGUGAAGAAAUGGCGAGAAGGUGGCCAUCUGCAACCCAAGGAGAGAGCCGUCACUACACACUGACCCUGCUGGUACCUGGAUCCGAAACAUCCAGUCUCCAGAGCUGUGCGAAAUAAAUUCCUGUUGGUUAAGCCACCCAG